RNAcentral lists this ribosomal RNA (255 nucleotides) under uncultured bacterium. RNAcentral's name for it is "partial 16S ribosomal RNA". It matches the Rfam family "Bacterial small subunit ribosomal RNA", at positions 524 to 777 of the family's 1533-position model. The record is from RNAcentral.
UACGUAGGCAGCGAGCGUUGUUCGGAAUUACUGGGCGUAAAGAGUGUGUAGGCGGUGCUCCCAGUCUGUUGUGAAAUCUCCCGGCUUAACUGGGAGGGUGCAGCGGAAACUAGAGUGCUAGGAGGGUGGGAGAGGUAAGCGGAAUUCUGGUGUAGCGGUGAAAUGCGUAGAGAUCCGGAAGAACACCGGUGGCGAAGGCGGCCUGCUGGGCAGUGGCUGACGCUGAGGCGCGACAGCGUGGGGGAGCAAACGAGG